AGCAGUGGGGAAUUUUGGACAAUGGGCGCAAGCCUGAUCCAGCAAUGCCGCGUGAGUGAAGAAGGCCUUCGGGUUGUAAAGCUCUUUUGUCAGGGAAGAAACGGUGAGGGCUAAUAUCCUUUGCUAAUGACGGUACCUGAAGAAUAAGCACCGGCUAACUACGUGCCAGCAGCCGCGGUAAUACGUAGGGUGCAAGCGUUAAUCGGAAUUACUGGGCGUAAAGCGUGCGCAGGCGAUUUUGUAAGUUUGUCGUGAAAGCCCCGGGCUCAACCUGGGAAUUGCGAUGAAGACUGCAAGGCUUGAAUCUGGCAGAGGGGGGUAGAAUUCCACGUGUAGCAGUGAAAUGCGUAGAGAUGUGGAGGAACACCGAUGGCGAAGGCAGCCCCCUGGGUCAAGAUUGACGCUCAUG
This 409-nucleotide ribosomal RNA is filed under the name uncultured bacterium. RNAcentral's name for it is "bacterial SSU rRNA". It matches the Rfam family "Bacterial small subunit ribosomal RNA", at positions 350 to 751 of the family's 1533-position model. The record is from RNAcentral.